Molecule: ribosomal RNA, 1343 nt
Filed under: uncultured bacterium
Lineage: Bacteria
Description: 16S ribosomal RNA
Rfam family: Bacterial small subunit ribosomal RNA
Source: RNAcentral
GACGAACGCUGGUGGCGUGCUUAACACAUGCAAGUCGAACGGAAAGGCCCUGCUUUUGUGGGGUGCUCGAGUGGCGAACGGGUGAGUAACACGUGAGUAACCUGCCCUUGACUUUGGGAUAACUUCAGGAAACUGGGGCUAAUACCGGAUAGGAGCUCCUGCUGCAUGGUGGGGGUUGGAAAGUUUCGGCGGUUGGGGAUGGACUCGCGGCUUAUCAGCUUGUUGGUGGGGUAGUGGCUUACCAAGGCUUUGACGGGUAGCCGGCCUGAGAGGGUGACCGGCCACAUUGGGACUGAGAUACGGCCCAGACUCCUACGGGAGGCAGCAGUGGGGAAUAUUGCACAAUGGGCGGAAGCCUGAUGCAGCAACGCCGCGUGCGGGAUGACGGCCUUCGGGUUGUAAACCGCUUUCGCCUGUGACGAAGCGUGAGUGACGGUAAUGGGUAAAGAAGCACCGGCUAACUACGUGCCAGCAGCCGCGGUGAUACGUAGGGUGCGAGCGUUGUCCGGAUUUAUUGGGCGUAAAGGGCUCGUAGGUGGUUGAUCGCGUCGGAAGUGUAAUCUUGGGGCUUAACCCUGAGCGUGCUUUCGAUACGGGUUGACUUGAGGAAGGUAGGGGAGAAUGGAAUUCCUGGUGGAGCGGUGGAAUGCGCAGAUAUCAGGAGGAACACCAGUGGCGAAGGCGGUUCUCUGGGCCUUUCCUGACGCUGAGGAGCGAAAGCGUGGGGAGCGAACAGGCUUAGAUACCCUGGUAGUCCACGCUGUAAACGGUGGGUACUAGGUGUGGGGUCCAUUCCACGGGUUCCGUGCCGUAGCUAACGCUUUAAGUACCCCGCCUGGGGAGUACGGCCGCAAGGCUAAAACUCAAAGGAAUUGACGGGGCCCCGCACAAGCGGCGGAGCAUGCGGAUUAAUUCGAUGCAACGCGUAGAACCUUACCUGGGUUUGACAUGGAUCGGGAGUGCUCAGAGAUGGGUGUGCCUCUUUUGGGGUCGGUUCACAGGUGGUGCAUGGCUGUCGUCAGCUCGUGUCGUGAGAUGUUGGGUUAAGUCCCGCAACGAGCGCAACCCUUGUUCACUGUUGCCAGCACGUUAUGGUGGGGACUCAGUGGAGACCGCCGGGGUCAACUCGGGGGAAGGUGGGGAUGACGUCAAGUCAUCAUGCCCCUUAUGUCCAGGGCUUCACGCAUGCUACAAUGGCUGGUACAGAGAGUGGCGAGCCUGUGAGGGUGAGCGAAUCUCGGAAAGCCGGUCUCAGUUCGGAUUGGGGUCUGCAACUCGACCUCAUGAAGUCGGAGUCGCUAGUAAUCGCAGAUCAGCAACGCUGCGGUGAAUACGUUCCCGGG